This 440-nucleotide ribosomal RNA is filed under the name uncultured Pseudomonas sp. RNAcentral describes it as "bacterial SSU rRNA". It matches the Rfam family "Bacterial small subunit ribosomal RNA", at positions 358 to 790 of the family's 1533-position model. The record is from RNAcentral. Lineage: Bacteria; Pseudomonadati; Pseudomonadota; Gammaproteobacteria; Pseudomonadales; Pseudomonadaceae.
GGAAUAUUGGACAAUGGGCGAAAGCCUGAUCCAGCCAUGCCGCGUGUGUGAAGAAGGUCUUCGGAUUGUAAAGCACUUUAAGUUGGGAGGAAGGGCAGUACAUUAAUACUGUGCUGUUUUGACGUUACCGACAGAAUAAGCACCGGCUAACUCUGUGCCAGCAGCCGCGGUAAUACAGAGGGUGCAAGCGUUAAUCGGAAUUACUGGGCGUAAAGCGCGCGUAGGUGGUUCGUUAAGUUGGAUGUGAAAUCCCCGGGCUCAACCUGGGAACUGCAUUCAAAACUGUCGAGCUAGAGUAUGGUAGAGGGUGGUGGAAUUUCCUGUGUAGCGGUGAAAUGCGUAGAUAUAGGAAGGAACACCAGUGGCGAAGGCGACCACCUGGACUGAUACUGACACUGAGGUGCGAAAGCGUGGGGAGCAAACAGGAUUAGAUACCCCAG